GGUGGUGUAGCUCAAAUGGUAGAGCGCUUCCCUUGAGAUGAAGACCUAAGGGAUAGCGCCCAAGCCCAGAGUUCAAGCUCCACGACCG
This 88-nucleotide transfer RNA is filed under the name Dipodomys ordii (Ord's kangaroo rat). It matches the Rfam family "tRNA". Rfam says of the family: Transfer RNA (tRNA) molecules are approximately 80 nucleotides in length. Lineage: Eukaryota; Metazoa; Chordata; Mammalia; Rodentia; Heteromyidae. The record is from Rfam by way of RNAcentral.